Molecule: ribosomal RNA, 253 nt
Filed under: uncultured bacterium
Lineage: Bacteria
Description: partial 16S ribosomal RNA
Rfam family: Bacterial small subunit ribosomal RNA
Source: RNAcentral
UACGGGGGGGGCAAGCGUUGUUCGGAAUUACUGGGCGUAAAGGGCUCGUAGGCGGCCAACUAAGUCGGACGUGAAAUCCCUCGGCUUAACCGGGGAACUGCGUCCGAUACUGGAUGGCUCGAGUUCGGGAGAGGGAUGCGGAAUUCCAGGUGUAGCGGUGAAAUGCGUAGAUAUCUGGAGGAACACCGGUGGCGAAGGCGGCAUCCUGGACCGACACUGACGCUGAGGAGCGAAAGCCAGGGGAGCAAACGGG